Molecule: transfer RNA, 72 nt
Filed under: Pseudalutarius nasicornis (rhino leatherjacket)
Lineage: Eukaryota; Metazoa; Chordata; Actinopteri; Tetraodontiformes; Monacanthidae
Description: tRNA-Thr
Rfam family: tRNA
About the family: Transfer RNA (tRNA) molecules are approximately 80 nucleotides in length. Their secondary structure includes four short double-helical elements and three loops (D, anti-codon, and T loops).
Source: RNAcentral
GCAUCGGUAGCUCAGUUACAGAGCACCGGUCUUGUAAACCGGAGGCCGAGGGCUUGCCCCCCUCCCGACGCU